GAUGAACGCUGGCGGCGUGCCUAAUACAUGCAAGUCGAACGAACAGACGAGGAGCUUGCUCCUCUGACGUUAGCGGCGGACGGGAGAGAAACACGUGGAUAACCCACCUAUAAGACUGGGAUCACUUCGGGAAACCGGAGAUAAUACCGGAUAAUAUAUUGAUCCGCAUGGUUCAAUAGUGAGAGACGGUUUUGCUGUCACUUAUAGAUGGAUCCGAGCCGCAGUAGCUAGUUGGUAAGGUAAAGGCCUACCAAGGCAACGAUGCGUUUACGACCGGUUAGAGGGGUCGGCCACACGGGAGCGGAGACACGCUCCAGACGCCUACGGGACGCAGCAGUAGGGAAUCUGCCGCAGUAGUCGAAAGCCUUACGGAGCAACGCCGCGUGAGUUAUGAAGGUCUUCGGAUCGUAAUACUCUGUUAUUGGUUAUAAACAAAUGUGUAAGGAACUAUGCACUUCUUGACGGUACCUAAUCAGAAAGCCACGGCUAACUACGUG
RNAcentral lists this ribosomal RNA (497 nucleotides) under uncultured bacterium. Its description in RNAcentral is "partial 16S ribosomal RNA". It matches the Rfam family "Bacterial small subunit ribosomal RNA", at positions 28 to 507 of the family's 1533-position model. The record is from RNAcentral.